RNAcentral lists this ribosomal RNA (458 nucleotides) under Cacuminostreptus mazowensis. Its description in RNAcentral is "partial 16S ribosomal RNA". Lineage: Eukaryota; Metazoa; Arthropoda; Diplopoda; Spirostreptida; Spirostreptidae. The record is from RNAcentral.
ACAUUGAAAAAUUUCUUUAGAAGAUAUUUUGAUAAAAUUAGGUAUUUAURUAGAUAAUUAAAAUAAUAAAAUAGUUAGUAUUAUUUAGAAUGUUGUGUUAUUUAUUUACUGUGAAGGCAAACAAUAUUUUUAUAAAAGAAAUAAUGAACAUAUGUACCUUGUGUAUUAGGGAUUAUUAAAAUARAAAGUAGGCUUAGUUUUCCCGAUGUAUUUGUGGGCUAAAUUUUAUUUUUAUUAAUGUUGCAUAAUUAAUAAUAAUUUAAGUUUAGGGAUGAUAUAUUAUUCAAACAAUAARAUUUCUGGUUCUUUAAGUAUUUAAUUUAAUUAAGGUUGGGUUUUCSUUUAAAUUCAAUUAAUAUCUAUAARGGGAUAAGCUUUUAUAGUUGUUUUAUAUACAUUAUAAUUAUUUAAAUUGUUUAGAUUUAAUAUUGAUCUAAUUUUUACAAUGUUAUAAUGAA